AGCUGCAAAAUCUGUUUCUACCCCCACAACUUGUUCUACAGAAACCAGGUAUUGGAAAAAUUAAAGGGGAAAGGACAGCAGCACCAUUUGCAGAGCCAAGCCAACCUCAAAUGAGACAAGGACCAUUCUUCUUGCUUUUGCAACCUCUGAAGAACAAGUCUGAGCACAUCUCCUGUCUGGCAUCUCAAUGCAGUUACCUUCUGUGUAGCGUGGGCCUCACUGCCGCAUUUAACCUGACACCUGGAGAGGAUCCAGGGCGAGAUUUGACCGCGAAGGGGAGUAUGACAUGGAGCUACAGGUUCUUCUUGACUUCUCAUUGAAACCCCUCUGCCAGCCAUCCCAAGAAUAUACCCUAACGGCUGUGAUUUAUUACUGUGUUAUCAUGCCUGUCUGCCUCAUUACAGACUUUGGAUUUUAUCAGGCAGCUUGUCCUCUAGUGUCUGGUAACCAAUUACCGUGGUCUGCAAAGAAGCCUGAAGUACUUUGCCAAACACUGCUAAUAAACUGGGAAAGAGCCUGAGCACAGCUUCAGGUUGCCUUAAGGAAAUUCCAGAGAGCACUUUCCACUUUAUUGUGUAGUUCACAGUAUGAACUGGGAAUUAUCUCAAAGAGUCAUUCUCUACACAGAGCUAAACUCCCCUUUAAAGGUUGUGCCACACUGGAUUACUGCACACGGACUUGCCUCCAUCCAAAGGCUGCUGAACUCAGUAGGAGUCUUUCAGAUGACAACAGGACUUAGUCCACAGUCUAAAACUAAAUACUUUAGAAGAAAAUGAAAAAAAAAAUAAAAAUCCUGUAUUCCUUUUUCUACCUAAAAGAAAAAUCUUAAGCUGGUAGGAAAAAUCAGAAUGGACAAGUGCCUGCACUAGAAUAGAAGGGUGACAUGUGCCUGUUGCUCCAUGCUUGUGAAAAAUAUUUUAUCUUAAAGGGUAAAAUAAUCAAUAGUGCUUUCUGUGAGUCCUCUGCAGCAAAGUGAAUGUCACAUGAAUCUAUAGUAUGUGCUCUGUUGUGCAUUUAGUAUUUUCUUUUGGGGCUGGCUCACUGUAAUGUUCCAAGGAAGAACGAGCUGACAUCCGUACCGCAGAAGUGACCAGCAGCCACCCUCCCUCAGCCAAAAAACUCUCUUAAUCCUGCUCAUUUCUCCAGCACUUCAAAGGGCUUCACCUGUGGUCUGCCUGCUUCAGAUGGCUUGGAUUGUAUCAGCGUGAAAGAUGCAACAAGCCACCAAAGAAGACCAGGAGUUUGUGUGGGAGAGAAAGAGAGAAAAAUCUUAAAAGACAGCUGUGGAAGAAGUCUAGAGAAGAUCUAUUCGUUGUCAGUCCAGCCUUCGGGUGUGACUCCCAAGGAGUGGGACUCUGCCACUGCAAAGGGGUUUGGCUCACCCGUACAGCGUUUUGCUUCGCUGGCAAGCAUCGGUGCAACCGGCAGGACCCUCUGGGCAGCAUUUGUCAGGAAACAGGGAAAGAGGAUCUUAUUCAGGAAUAUUUUAGGCAUGCUUUAUUAAAGCAGAGAACAUUUCAUCCACCUCUGCUUAACCUUGCUCAGGGCCCCCCAAAAGGCAAUAGAGCCCCUACAGUGAGGUCUGUUUAUUUUCUGCUCAGUUGGAAAGCAAAGGUCCUAUUACCGUUAAAGGGAGUUACAAGUAUUCAUCAAAGAAAGAAAUGACCCAUAAAGGCAGUUAAGUUAGUUUUAUUCCCGCUGCAUAAGUCAACCUCUUUUCUAUAUAUAAAAUGAUGGGGUUAGAAAAGGAUAUUCAUCAGGCAGUCCACUGAUUUGAUUGGCUGCAC
This is a long non-coding RNA of Falco peregrinus (peregrine falcon), 1787 nucleotides long. RefSeq lists it as uncharacterized. Lineage: Eukaryota; Metazoa; Chordata; Aves; Falconiformes; Falconidae. The record is from RefSeq and is a predicted model, not a curated record. The transcript has 3 exons.